AUAACAUUUGGACCGUCGGUCUAUUGAGCAAUGUCACCCGCUCGGUGGAAAAUCUUCCCUUUGUCGU
Molecule: microRNA precursor, 67 nt
Filed under: Bombyx mori (domestic silkworm)
Lineage: Eukaryota; Metazoa; Arthropoda; Insecta; Lepidoptera; Bombycidae
Description: mir-2774 microRNA precursor family
Rfam family: mir-2774 microRNA precursor family
Source: Rfam by way of RNAcentral